RNAcentral lists this ribosomal RNA (676 nucleotides) under Normandina pulchella. RNAcentral's name for it is "SSU rRNA". It matches the Rfam family "Eukaryotic small subunit ribosomal RNA", at positions 146 to 843 of the family's 1831-position model. The record is from RNAcentral. Lineage: Eukaryota; Fungi; Ascomycota; Eurotiomycetes; Verrucariales; Verrucariaceae.
AACCGUGGUAAUUCUAGAGCUAAUACAUGCUAAAAACCCCGACUUCGGAAGGGGUGUAUUUAUUAGAUUAAAAACCAACGCCCUUCGGGGCUCCUUGGUGAAUCAUAAUAACUYAACGAAUCGCAUGGCCUUGCGCCGGCGAUGGUUCAUUCAAAUUUCUGCCCUAUCAACUUUCGAUGGUAGGAUAGUGGCCUACCAUGGUCUCAACGGGUAACGGGGAAUUAGGGUUCGACUCCGGAGAGGGAGCCUGAGAAACGGCUACCACAUCCAAGGAAGGCAGCAGGCGCGCAAAUUACCCAAUCCCGACACGGGGAGGUAGUGACAAUAAAUACUGAUACAGGGCUCUUUUGGGUCUUGUAAUUGGAAUGAGUACAAUUUAAAUCCCUUAACGAGGAACAAUUGGAGGGCAAGUCUGGUGCCAGCAGCCGCGGUAAUUCCAGCUCCAAUAGCGUAUAUUAAAGUUGUUGCAGUUAAAAAGCUCGUAGUUGAACCUUGGGCCUGGCUGGCCGGUCCGCCUCACCGCGUGCACUGGUCCGGCCGGGCCUUUCUUUCUGGGGAACCGCAUGGCCUUCACUGGCCGUGCCGGGGAACCAGGACUUUUACUUUGAAAAAAUUAGAGUGUUCAAAGCAGGCCUUUGCUCGGAUACAUUAGCAGGAAUAAUAGAAUAGGACGCGG